Mesoplodon densirostris (Blainville's beaked whale) is the source of this 627-nucleotide long non-coding RNA. RefSeq lists it as uncharacterized. The record is from RefSeq and is a predicted model, not a curated record. The transcript has 3 exons. NCBI's taxonomy places the organism in Eukaryota, Metazoa, Chordata, Mammalia, Artiodactyla, Ziphiidae.
UCUCCGGCCGCGGCCAAAGCAGCUCCCGCCGCCCAGAGCCACAGGGAGGCGCCUGCGCACUGCGCGCCGCGGUGGGGGCGGGGGCGUCCCGCCGAGGUCUGGGAUCCCGGGAUGAGCUGCACGUGGAGCUCAGGACAGGAACUCCGCCGUGGGCAGUGCCUCACUUCAAGCGGGCAACUAACGGCGCAGUGAGGACACGCCUUACCUGGGUAUCCUGGGGUGUUGGUCCAACGAGCCCCGGAGUUGUAUUCUGUGCGCUCCGCCAAGGCCUCGGUCCCAGUGUAACGCGGGAUGCUGAUUCCCCGUUCUAGGUUCUGCUCUACAAUUACUCGAGGAUCCUACUGGCCUUCGUCGGGAGACACGGGUUCGAUCCCUGGUCUGGGAAGAUCCCACAUGCUGUGGAGCAAAUAAGCCCGUGCGCCACAACUACUGAGCCUGUGCUCUAGAGCCCGUGCUCCGCAACAAGAGAGACCACCACAAUGAGAAGCCUGCGCGCAGCAACGAAGACCCAAUACAGCCAAUAAAUUUAAAAAGUAAAUUUUAAAAAAUAAAAUAAAAUAAAUAAAGAUGGAAAUGAGACCCAGGGAAGCUAAGUUGUUUUAAGUGCAGAUAGUUUAAAAAACAGAA